AGAAAAAUUACAAGAGCUGAAAAUUAAGUCUUCUUGUUGGGCUCGAAAACAUACUUAAUGAUGGAAUCUUUAAUUGACAACAUAUCAGGAAACUCUUUCUUCAACUUUGUAGCAUCCAGCUCAUUGUUACUCCUUGGUGCUACAAUCACCUUGGCUUGCUCUUCCAAAUUGAAGUUCAUCCAUUUGAAUUCAGGAUCUAUGUAUUUUUUGUACAGUUCCAAUAUCUCAUUAUGGCUUACCACCCCUGGAUUGGUGAAGUUCCAUAUUCCUCUGCAAUUUCUUUUUGCCAUCUCGAUUGAGAUUGGCAACAGCUCAUCCAACACUGUCAUACUAUUGGGUAUGUUCACAACCUUAUUGUAACGA
Molecule: unclassified non-coding RNA, 363 nt
Filed under: Hevea brasiliensis (rubber tree)
Lineage: Eukaryota; Viridiplantae; Streptophyta; Magnoliopsida; Malpighiales; Euphorbiaceae
Source: RNAcentral